ACCGUCCCCCUCCUCACCCUUUCCCUGCUGAGCCUGUUCUACAGCACAGCACUGACCGUGACGAGCAUCCGGGGCCCGCCCAACAGCAGGGAGGGCCCCCAGUACUGAGCACAAGCCAGUAAGGCACAGAUGGGGACACGGGACAGGAGGGAGAAUACUGGACUGAAGGGGCCGGGGGUGCAGAAGCCAAGAAGGGCAUUACCUGUUCCCACCACAUGGGGCGCUGCCUCCCAGGGAAGAAGUGUGGAGGAACCUCUAAGAGAAGCCAGCGCUAUGUGCCAGAGUCAACCUGAAGCACCAACCCAGCCUUGAUUCAUGUGCCUUCCUGAUGCAAUAAACUGAUCCCAAAUCA
Tupaia belangeri chinensis (Chinese tree shrew) is the source of this 352-nucleotide long non-coding RNA. RefSeq lists it as uncharacterized. The transcript has 2 exons. The record is from RefSeq and is a predicted model, not a curated record. Lineage: Eukaryota; Metazoa; Chordata; Mammalia; Scandentia; Tupaiidae.